ACUGUGAGCGCGGGCCGGGCGGGGCCGGGGCGUGGGCAGGGGAGUGGGCAGUGGGUGCGGUCAGUGGGUGUGGUCAGUGGGUGUGGUCCCUGGGUGUGGUCAGUGGGUGUGGUCAGUGGGUGUGGUCAGUGGGUGCGGUCAGUGGGUGCGGUCUGGGUGUGGUCAGUGGGGGUGGGCAGUGGGUGCGGUCAGUGGGCGUGUCCCUGGGUGUGGUCAGUGGGUGUGGUCAGUUGUGUGGUCAGUGGGCGUGUCCCUGGGUGUGGUCAGUGGGCGUGGCCCCGGCCCCGCCCCGCCCCGGCUGACGCGCCGCCCGCAGUCCUGCACGAGGAGCCGGAGCCGCCGUGGCCGUUGGGCGCGGCGCGGCGCUCCCCGGUGCGCGGCAGCCUCCGGCCCUUCCUGCCCCGCCGCCGCGGCACCCCCGAGCCGCCGCCGCAGCCCGAGCCGCCGCCGCGCCGCGCCAGCUCCCUGGGCCGUGUCGGCCACUGAGCUUGCCCAGCCCCUCCCCCCUCCGGCCACUGACCCCCAACUCCGGCCACUGACCCCAACUCCGGCCACUGACCCCUCAUGGCCACUGACCCCUCAUGGCCACUGACCCCUCAUGGCCACUGACCCCAACUCCGGCCACUGACCCCAACUCCGGCCACUGACCCCAACUCCGGCCACUGACCCCUCAUGGCCACUGACCCCCCAUGGCCACUGACCCCCAACUCCGGCCACUGACCCCCAACUCCGGCCACUGACCCCAACUCCGGCCACUGACCCNCAGGUGGGGGUUUAUAGUUGAUAUCUUAUAUUUGAGAUAUUUUAUUUGAUAUUGCAUAGUUUGUAUUUGAUAUUGUAUGGAGUGUAUUUGAUAUUGUACAGGUUAUAUUUUAUAGUUUGUGUUUUAUAGUUUAUAGUUUAUAUUUCAACUUUCGGCCUCUGCUGGCCCGUCCCCCAGGUGGGGGUUUACAGUUUCUAUUUGAUAUUUUAUUUUUAAAUCUUAUUUUCUAUUUUCUAGUUUAUGUUUUCUAUUGUAUAAUUUAUAGUUUGUAUUUUAUAGUUUGUAUUUCAUCUCUCGGCCUCUGCCGGCC
Molecule: long non-coding RNA, 1073 nt
Filed under: Lonchura striata (white-rumped munia)
Lineage: Eukaryota; Metazoa; Chordata; Aves; Passeriformes; Estrildidae
Description: domestica (Bengalese finch) lncRNA (ENSLSDG00000003632.1)
Source: RNAcentral